GAAUUCAGUUCGCAAUAUCGCACUCUUACGAAGAAUAUCUCUAUUUUUUUACGAGAAAUAGAGGUUUGCGUACCAGUUGAACGAGCCGUCACGGAGGGAGCUUCCUUGAUGUUAUUCUCAACGGUCGACAUUGUGGAGUCAGGAUCGUCGAUAACUCCUUCAGAUCCCGUACGUGAAGAGCCAGCGCGUCUCUCGCUUAGGUUGUCGCUGGACAGACUUCUGCGGAACUCGUGGUGACUUGAACCGAAGGAUGGAUCAAGCCCGCCACCAAUACUCGGAAGUUGUUCGUCGCUUGGACGAAUGCUCUCCCCCUUCUUGGCGCGUUUCCAUUGUUCAUCAGAAGACGGUGAUAUGUGACCAGGGAUAUAUUCAUCUAGCUCGUCUGGCUCAUCAUCAUCGACGUCGAUCUGAAAAUGUUCGUCACUGUCCAUUCCAGGGAGCUUGGAGAUGUCGCCGACGUAGCCUUUUUUCCCGAGGGAGUAGCCGGGCUUUGGAGUGACAGAGCCAUCCUCAUUAAAGAUGAAGUUCUCCUCAGUUGGCAAGAGACCAAAUCGCUUCUUUUUACCGUUGAUGAUGCGGUCAUACUUUUUCCCUCCUCUCGCUGAUAGUAAAAAGAAUAAACAACAUUAGAUUUAUUUUAGUUUCUCUUCACAUGGAAGGGUUAUAUCGAGGAGGUAAAUUACUUUAACCAAGCUUUCUUUUCUAGCUAUAGUAAUUAUUUUUCCGAAACUGGAAUUUUAUAAAUUGAGGCCUGAUAAAUUAAAAGGAUAUGACUAUUCUGUCAAA
Nematostella vectensis (starlet sea anemone) is the source of this 786-nucleotide long non-coding RNA. RefSeq lists it as uncharacterized. The transcript has 2 exons. Lineage: Eukaryota; Metazoa; Cnidaria; Anthozoa; Actiniaria; Edwardsiidae. The record is from RefSeq and is a predicted model, not a curated record.